UUUAAGUGCAGUUGUGGGUUUAUAUGUUCAACAUUUGACCGUCCGUUUUAUUUAAAAUUUUUGUAUAAGUAGUAUUUUUGUUAUAUUAGAUGAUAAAAAUAAAUAGUACUUUAUGUAUGACUUUUUUUUCAAAUAAGACGGACGGUUAAAUGUUGGACACGGAAACCCGUAUCUGCACCUAAA
RNAcentral lists this microRNA precursor (183 nucleotides) under Oryza meridionalis. RNAcentral's name for it is "MIR812 microRNA precursor family". It matches the Rfam family "MIR812 microRNA precursor family". The record is from Rfam by way of RNAcentral. Lineage: Eukaryota; Viridiplantae; Streptophyta; Magnoliopsida; Poales; Poaceae.